AAACUCAAAUGAAUUGACGGAGGGCCCGCACAAGCGGUGGAGCAUGUGGUUUAAUUCGAUGCAACGCGAAGAACCUUACCUACUCUUGACAUCCAGAGAAUUCGCUAGAGAUAGCUUAGUGCCUUCGGGAACUCUGAGACAGGUGCUGCAUGGCUGUCGUUUCAGCUCGUGUUGUGAAAUGUUGGGUUAAGUCCCGCAACGAGCGCAACCCUUAUCCUUUGUUGCCAGCGAUUGCGGUCGGGAACUCAAAGGAGACUGCCGGUGAUAAACCGGAGGAAGGUGGGGAUGACGUCAAGUCAUCAUGGCCCUUACGAGUAGGGCUACACACGUGCUACAAUGGCGUAUACAAAGAGAAGCGAACUCGCGAGAGCAAGCGGACCUCAUAAAGUACGUCGUAGUCCGGAUUGGAAGUCUGCAACUCGACUCCAUGAAGUCGGAAUCGCUAGUAAUCGUAGAU
Molecule: ribosomal RNA, 457 nt
Filed under: Serratia plymuthica
Lineage: Bacteria; Pseudomonadati; Pseudomonadota; Gammaproteobacteria; Enterobacterales; Yersiniaceae
Description: bacterial SSU rRNA
Rfam family: Bacterial small subunit ribosomal RNA
Source: RNAcentral